Molecule: unclassified non-coding RNA, 406 nt
Filed under: soil metagenome
Description: partial contains 5.8S ribosomal RNA, internal transcribed spacer 2, and large subunit ribosomal RNA
Rfam family: 5.8S ribosomal RNA (bases 1-121)
Source: RNAcentral
GAUGAAGAACGCAGCGAAAUGCGAUAAGUAAUGUGAAUUGCAGAAUUCAGUGAAUCAUCGAAUCUUUGAACGCACCUUGCGCCCUUUGGCCAUUCCGAAGGGCAUGCCUGUCUGAGUAUCAUGAACACCUCAACUCUUCAUGGUUUUCCAUGAUGAGCUUGGACUUUGGGGAUCUUGCUGGCCUGUGGGUCGGCUCCUCUCAAAUGAAUCAGCUUGCCAGUUUUUGGUGGGCAUCACAGGUGUGAUAACUAUCUACGCUUGUGGUUUUCCACCAGGGUAACCUUCAGCAGUGGAGGUUCACUGGAGCUUACAAAUGUCUCUCCUCUGUGAGGACAGCCCUUUGAAUGUUUGAUCUCAAAUCAGGUAGGACUACCCGCUGAACUUAAGCAUAUCAAUAAGCGGAGGA